GCAGGAGUGUGGCAGAGUGGUAAUGAACAGGGCUCAUAACCCAAAGGUUGCUGGUUCGAUUCCAUACUGGGGCA
Molecule: non-coding RNA, 74 nt
Organism: Megalops atlanticus (tarpon)
Lineage: Eukaryota; Metazoa; Chordata; Actinopteri; Elopiformes; Megalopidae
Source: the annotation of a GenBank genome assembly